RNAcentral lists this ribosomal RNA (441 nucleotides) under Vibrio sp. 5U4,1 2. RNAcentral's name for it is "bacterial SSU rRNA". It matches the Rfam family "Bacterial small subunit ribosomal RNA", at positions 380 to 821 of the family's 1533-position model. Lineage: Bacteria; Pseudomonadati; Pseudomonadota; Gammaproteobacteria; Vibrionales; Vibrionaceae. The record is from RNAcentral.
AGCCUGAUGCAGCCAUGCCGCGUGUGUGAAGAAGGCCUUCGGGUUGUAAAGCACUUCAGGUGAGGAAGGUGGUGGUUAAUAGCGUCAUUUGACGUUAGCGACAGAAGAAGCACCGGCUAACUCCGUGCCAGCAGCCGCGGUAAUACGGAGGGUGCGAGCGUUAAUCGGAAUUACUGGGCGUAAAGCGCAUGCAGGUGGUUUGUUAAGUCAGAUGUGAAAGCCCGGGGCUCAACCUCGGAAUAGCAUUUGAAACUGGCAGACUAGAGUACUGUAGAGGGGGGUAGAAUUUCAGGUGUAGCGGUGAAAUGCGUAGAGAUCUGAAGGAAUACCGGUGGCGAAGGCGGCCCCCUGGACAGAUACUGACACUCAGAUGCGAAAGCGUGGGGAGCAAACAGGAUUAGAUACCCUGGUAGUCCACGCCGUAAACGAUGUCUACUUGAG